This 120-nucleotide small nuclear RNA is filed under the name Myotis brandtii (Brandt's bat). RNAcentral describes it as "U4 spliceosomal RNA". It matches the Rfam family "U4 spliceosomal RNA". From Rfam's summary of the family: U4 small nuclear RNA (U4 snRNA) is a component of the major U2-dependent spliceosome. The structure of U4 snRNA from yeast and human has been reported. U4 snRNA presents a k-turn RNA motif in the 5p-SL related to recognition of Snu13 protein. Lineage: Eukaryota; Metazoa; Chordata; Mammalia; Chiroptera; Vespertilionidae. The record is from Rfam by way of RNAcentral.
AACUCUGUGCAGCAGUGGCAGUAUUGUAGCCAAUGAGGCUUACCCAAGGUGCAAUUAUUGCUAAUUGAAGAAUAUAUUUAUGCCCUAACUGGUUUGACUCAGUGGAUAGAGCGUUGGCAC